Molecule: long non-coding RNA, 1821 nt
Organism: Cyprinus carpio carpio
Lineage: Eukaryota; Metazoa; Chordata; Actinopteri; Cypriniformes; Cyprinidae
Source: Ensembl
AUGUACUCACAGUCUUCGUUGUUCCACAAUGUCACUAUUUCCCUACGGCACCUUCGUACAACAGACACGAUGCCCAAACACUCCGUCCCACUCGUGGCGUUCCUUGGGAGGCAAAAACAACACACCUUCCUGUAUCCUCGAUGCCCUCUUUAUACUCAUGAACUGCCCUGUCUGCAAUCGCCACCUCAUUGGACACACCUGCUGCAGAUUUCCCUUGAUUUGGGUCGUCCGGAGUUUCCGGAAGUGACAAGGGUUUGCAUAUUUCCGGUCCGGGCGGAACUUCUCCUCUCACUUUUUGGUUCCGCCCUCAAAGUCACUUCGUGACAUUUACCACAGGGGUUUGGCAGAAUGGUAUAAUUAUAAUAUUAUACAAUAAUACUUAUGCUUACAUUGGAACCUUUUCUCAAUUUUUGGGAUUCUAAGAAGCAGAAGACAUCAUAGUUGGGUAAAUAUUUGCAUUCUCAUGUGCCUUAAUAGCAACAGAAAAAAAAUUACACAAUAGUGUUUCUGUGACUUUCCAAAAGAGGAAAAAUGUUUUUAAGAGAUUGAUGACCGUGACUGAUGUCAAAUUUGCUCAGCUUUUGUAUUAGUUACACUCACACAACAGCAGUGAAUUUUAUGUUAUUUAAUGCCAAGGUAAGAAACCACAAAAUAUAUUUUUAUAAAUGUACAUAAAUAUUAAACUAAAAAAAUUAAAAAAAUGUAAAAAAGUAAAAGACAUAAAAAACAAAAUUGGACCCCGCUGUCUUUCUUUGUAUGAACAGAAAAGGUGCAGAAUAGAUUUGUGUGUGUGUGUGUGUGUGUGUGUGUGUUCCACAGAUGAAAAUAAAUUGUUUAGGUUUGGUACAACUUGAGGGUGACUAAAUGAUUUCACUGUUCACUGAGAUGUUGUCUUUGGUCCCCUCAUUUGAACUGAAUUGGUGUCCAGACUCAGCUGUCCCUCCCCCUCUGUCCAGCUCCUCAUAUCAGCUCUGCAAAUCACACAGAUGUGACAGCUGCAGGUGUCCUGAUUAAAACAUCACUUUCAUCCGUCCAGUCUGUUUAUUCCAAGCAUGUACAGAUACUUCUGGUUCUGGAGGAAGAGGAGGCAGAGCUCUCUGUGAUAAUGACAACUUUCACAUGCAGUCAGAUUGUACAGGGAGAUAAAACCAUUUUGCAUCUUUAAAAUGCUUUCAAAUCCACAUUUUCUGUAUAAAAGCAAGUUUCAAAGGAACACUUGGUAUAUAUGAUGUAGGUAAAGAUAACACAUACUCACUUUUUUCAGUACCUGCUUUGUUUGAUUAGUAUUCUCUUUCUGAUUUCGGCUUAGUAUUUUCUUCAGUUGUUGACACAUGGGACACAUUUUAUAGUCCUUGCCAUUUUUUUCUGUAUCUUACAUUCAGUCACCUGUUAACUAUAGCAUACAGGAUAAUUAGCUAUUUUCCCAAGUACAAUAAAAUUGCUUUAAAAAGGUUAACUAUUAUAACUACCCUGCUGGUUUCACAUAUUUCUAACUGAUGCAAGCUGGUAAUUUAUGCUCUGUAGUUGGUUCAAGAUUGAUUAUAAACUGGUGUCCAAUAUUGAUUUGAUAUUGGAUUUGGAACAAACCAGCUACUCUAGUUUAAGCAAGUGUGGCCUUGUUUUUCCAGCAGCUACGCUAAGGUUUGUGUGAAUGAGUGUGAAUGAGAAAUGAUGAGGGCAGACUGCAUGAAGAGGUGGGAGGCCUGUAUAAAUGUAUGAACUUGACUGACACCGAACAGGUGCACAGCCAAGGAGGUGUCAGAUUUGAUUGACACUCAGCUUGCACAUGCGGCUGUUUCUUCAAAAGUAGGCACUUUUGGC